GUGCUCUCUUUGGCAGCACAUAUACUAAUGUUGGAAUGAUACAGAGAAGAUUAGCAUGGCUCCUGCGCAAGAAUGACACACAAAUUAUUGAAGCUUUCCAAAUGUUG
Molecule: small nuclear RNA, 107 nt
Organism: Acomys russatus (golden spiny mouse)
Lineage: Eukaryota; Metazoa; Chordata; Mammalia; Rodentia; Muridae
Source: RefSeq, a predicted model, not a curated record